GACGAACGCUGGCGGCGCGCCUAAUACAUGCAAGUCGCACGGGCACAUUUCGGUGUGUCAGUGGCGGACGGGUGAGUAACACGUGGGUGAUCUGCCCUUCGGUGGGGAAUAACUCUUGGAAACAGGAGCUAAUACCGCAUAAGCUUACCGCUUCGUUGCUGUAAGUAAAGAUUCAUUGCCGAAGGAGGAGCCUGCGGCGGAUUAGCUAGUCGGUGGGGUAACGGCUUACCGAGGCAACGAUCCGUAGCUGGUCUGAGAGGACGACCAGCCACACUGGGACUGAGACACGGCCCAGACUCCUACGGGAGGCAGCAGUAAGGAAUAUUCCACAAUGGGCGCAAGCCUGAUGGAGCGA
Molecule: ribosomal RNA, 355 nt
Filed under: uncultured bacterium
Lineage: Bacteria
Description: bacterial SSU rRNA
Rfam family: Bacterial small subunit ribosomal RNA
Source: RNAcentral